CACACGACUCUCGGCAACGGAUAUCUCGGCUCUCGCAUCGAUGAAGAACGUAGCGAAAUGCGAUACCUGGUGUGAAUUGCAGAAUCCCGCGAACCAUCGAGUCUUUGAACGCAAGUUGCGCCCGAGGCCUUUUGGCUAAGGGCACGCCUGCCUGGGCGUCAC
This 162-nucleotide ribosomal RNA is filed under the name Catabrosella variegata. Its description in RNAcentral is "5.8S ribosomal RNA". It matches the Rfam family "5.8S ribosomal RNA". From Rfam's summary of the family: 5.8S ribosomal RNA (5.8S rRNA) is a component of the large subunit of the eukaryotic ribosome. Lineage: Eukaryota; Viridiplantae; Streptophyta; Magnoliopsida; Poales; Poaceae. The record is from RNAcentral.